GGAAUAAAAGUCGUAACAAGGUCUCCGUAGGUGAACCUGCGGAGGGAUCAUUACAAGUGACCCCGGUCUAACCACCGGGAUGUUCAUAACCCUUUGUUGUCCGACUCUGUUGCCUCCGGGGCGACCCUGCCUUCGGGCGGGGGCUCCGGGUGGACACUUCAAACUCUUGCGUAACUUUGCAGUCUGAGUAAACUUAAUUAAUAAAUUAAAACUUUUAACAACGGAUCUCUUGGUUCUG
Molecule: unclassified non-coding RNA, 238 nt
Filed under: plant metagenome
Description: partial contains small subunit ribosomal RNA, internal transcribed spacer 1, and 5.8S ribosomal RNA
Rfam family: Eukaryotic small subunit ribosomal RNA (bases 1-53)
Source: RNAcentral